GACGAACGCUGGCGGCGUGCUUAACACAUGCAAGUCGAACGGAAAGGCCCUGCUUUUGUGGGGUGCUCGAGUGGCGAACGGGUGAGUAACACGUGAGUAACCUGCCCUUGACUUUGGGAUAACUUCAGGAAACUGGGGCUAAUACCGGAUAGGAGCUCCUGCUGCAUGGUGGGGGUUGGAAAGUUUCGGCGGUUGGGGAUGGACUCGCGGCUUAUCAGCUUGUUGGUGGGGUAGUGGCUUACCAAGGCUUUGACGGGUAGCCGGCCUGAGAGGGUGACCGGCCACAUGGGGAAUGAGAUACGGCCCAGACUCCUACGGGAGGCAGCAGUGGGGAAUAUUGCACAAUGGGCGGAAGCCUGAUGCAGCAACGCCGCGUGCGGGAUGACGGCCUUCGGGUUGUAAACCGCUUUCGCCUGUGACGAAGCGUGAGUGACGGUAAUGGGGAAAGAAGCACCGGCUAACUACGU
RNAcentral lists this ribosomal RNA (467 nucleotides) under uncultured bacterium. Its description in RNAcentral is "partial 16S ribosomal RNA". It matches the Rfam family "Bacterial small subunit ribosomal RNA", at positions 28 to 506 of the family's 1533-position model. The record is from RNAcentral.